AUUGAACGCUGGCGGCAGGCCUAACACAUGCACGUCGAACGAGUGGCGGACGGGUGAGUAAUGUCUGGGAAACUGCCUGACGGAGGGGGCUAACUACUGGAAACGGUAGCUAAUACCGCAUACCCUCGGAUGUGCCCAGAUGGGAUUAGCUAGUAGGUGGGGUAAUGGCUCACCUAGGCGACGAUCCCUAGCUGGUCUGAGAGGAGGACCAGCAACACUGGAACUGAGACACGGUCCAGACUCCUACGGGAGGCAGCAGUGGGGAACAUUGCACAAUGGGCGCAAGCCUGACGCAGCAAUGCCGAGUGUAUGAAGAAGGCCUUCGGGUUGUAAAGUACUUGCAGCGGGUAGGCGUUACCCGCAGAAGAAGCACCGGCUAACUCCGUGCCAGCCGCCGCGGUAAUAC
RNAcentral lists this ribosomal RNA (406 nucleotides) under uncultured bacterium. Its description in RNAcentral is "partial 16S ribosomal RNA". It matches the Rfam family "Bacterial small subunit ribosomal RNA", at positions 30 to 526 of the family's 1533-position model. The record is from RNAcentral.